This 486-nucleotide long non-coding RNA is filed under the name Homo sapiens (human). RNAcentral describes it as "non-protein coding TMEM132D-AS1:20". Lineage: Eukaryota; Metazoa; Chordata; Mammalia; Primates; Hominidae. The record is from RNAcentral.
CUGCUUUUGCUUCCUCCUCAUUUUUCUCUUGCUGCCACCACGUGAGAAGUGCCUUUCGCCUCCCGCCAUGAUUCUGAGGCCUCCCUAGCCAUGGGGACCUGUCGUCGCUGCCCUCAGCCUCCAGAUGCAGCCCCCCUGCCACCUUCAGGACCCCUGGCUCUCCCCUGGACUCAGUAGCGAAAGGGUUUAUGUGCUCGGAGGGAGACCUUCAGGAAUCUGUGCAUAGAAUGCCAUAGUGCAGAGGAAAGUCUUCUUUCUGAAACCAGCCCAACUUUUCUCCCAGAGAGUAUCAUGGAACUGAACUUUCAAGAUCAUGGCAUCUGGACAUCGAGAAAACAGAACCCUCAUCUGGCCACCUGCUGCUUUUUGACCAAUUCCCAUAUAAACCGCUAACUUCAGUCAGUUGGAGGGAUGGAUUUGAGAUUUGCCUUCUGUCUCUCAGGUGAUGUCACCAGCAAUAAAGCCUUCUUCCCUGGCAAUACUCAA